RNAcentral lists this transfer RNA (67 nucleotides) under Chilecicada sp. PL492. RNAcentral describes it as "tRNA-Val". The record is from RNAcentral. Lineage: Eukaryota; Metazoa; Arthropoda; Insecta; Hemiptera; Cicadidae.
CAAGUUAAAGCUUAUAUAAGUACUUUUCUUACACUAAUGUGAAUAUUGUUAAAUCAAUAUAACUUGA